Gossypium arboreum is the source of this 1279-nucleotide long non-coding RNA. RefSeq lists it as uncharacterized. The record is from RefSeq and is a predicted model, not a curated record. The transcript is spliced from 2 exons. NCBI's taxonomy places the organism in Eukaryota, Viridiplantae, Streptophyta, Magnoliopsida, Malvales, Malvaceae.
CAAAGACCAAGAAAUUGGGCCUGGCCCACCUUCAACAACAGAGCCUGAAAAACCUUCACCUAAAUUAAACACAGCCACCGCCCCAGACCUUUGACCUAUUCUUUGCUUUUAAGUUUCUUAAUAAAAACCCUUUGAAUAAACCCAGUCAUUUCAGGCUCCUUAGAAGGUGCUUCCGAAUCUGGCGUUAGGGAUUUAGGAGCCAUUGAAGAUAACUUUCCAAAUCGGGAACCCACCCGAUUUCCAUCUGAGUUUUUCUUUUUUUAUCCACGAAUCCCUUCCUGUUUGCGCCGAGAUUUGCACUCAACAACAUCUACGGGCCAAAGGGUUUACCUACCAUCGGAAAAGCAUCUCCCUUCAUUGCCGAAGCUAUUUCACCGUUCAACGAAUUUCUUGGAAUUUCUAUAUCGUCAUGACCGCUCUGACCUGUCAAAGAAGAGGGACAUAAAUUUUUAAGGUUUCCAUACUUACCACAAGAGAAACAUAACUCGAAUAAGGCCUCAAAUUCCACACAUUGGAGUCAACCAUUGACGAACACUUGAGAGGAAUCCUGGUAGACCCGGAAAGUGGAUCCAAGCUAACACACCAUAGGGGAAUAGUCUGGACGGGUCGAAAUCCAUUGACCACGGUUGGACCGUGAGAUAGUGUCCAAACAAUCUAGGGACCUGGUGUUAGCGCCACAUCAUAGUCGACCUGACACUAGAAACAAACAAGCUAAUAUCCAUUAGCAACAUCCAUUAGGCGAAAGGAUUGUGUAGGUUUCCAGAGACUAUUGAUACAGGUACAAAGAGCCUCAUAGCAUAUAUUGCGUCCAAGCAACUUGACCACCACGAUGAGCUCCAUUCUUUUGAUCAAGAUUUUGGUAAUGCAAUCCGAGAAGUCAAUGGUAGGAAUACCAUUAAGGUUGAAUCUACGAAUAUCCCCUUCUUCAAACUCUAAAUCGAAAUUACCAGCACCAUCAAGAAAGUUCGGAGCCAAGCCUUCCAAUAGUUUAUCUUUUCAUGAAACUCCGCUUACCGGGGACGAGUCAACCACCAUAUUUGUCAGAGAGUCAUCACAUCCAUCUUUGAAUCGAACUUUUUUGGUAUUACGAUCAGCGGUGGAUCUUCUCCCUCGCUAAUCCGAUCAUCGAACAAAGUUUCAGCGCUGACCAUGUUCCUCAAAAAAUUAAUGUUCCCAAUUUAAUCACUUUAAUACUUAUAUCACUGAACAUAUAUUGGUAUGUAUCAUAAAAUAAUUUGAAUAUACAAAACAUUAUACUUUUGAUUAUUAUUCAAUUUAA